AGGAUAGCGGGAACAGCAGUGUUCCCACGCUGAAGGAACCACCAACGUGGAGCUGGACUUCACCGUGGUCACCACAGGGAAUAGAACCAACGACUCGUUUUCAGAACUACCCAAUAUCCAUCAAAACAGUUUUCAUGUGGUGCUGAUUCUGGUGCUGAUUCUGGUGCUGGCUACAGGAGUGGUGCUGUUUCUGCAGAUGAUCGUCUCUCAGAGAAGAAGGGAGAACGUCUGUCCGGAGCUGCGUUUGCAUCAUUUACCCAGCAGGAGGCGACAGACACCAAACAGCAGCCCUCCACAGACGGUGGUGGAGGACAUCGAGCCGUACGACGUGUUCCAGCAGAAGGAGAACGUUCUGUAUUUAUCCUCUAGAGCCCACAGUUGCAGCACCAUCAGCAGCGUCCUCACCUGACAGCCGUACAUCACACACAGAUGACUUUCUCUGUUGAAGAAGUUCGGUGUGUUUCUGUUUGAAUGACAAACCUGAGCAGAAUAAAUUCUAAUGAAAAAGGUG
Oryzias melastigma (Indian medaka) is the source of this 511-nucleotide long non-coding RNA. RefSeq lists it as uncharacterized. The record is from RefSeq and is a predicted model, not a curated record. NCBI's taxonomy places the organism in Eukaryota, Metazoa, Chordata, Actinopteri, Beloniformes, Adrianichthyidae. The transcript is spliced from 4 exons.